UACGUAGGGGGCUAGAGCGUUGUCCGGAAUCAUUGGCGUAAAGCGCGCGUAGGCGGCCCGGUAAGUCCGCUCUGAAAGUCCAGGGCUCGAACCCUGGAAAGCGGGUGAUACGUGCCGGGCUAGAAUCCGGAAGGAGGCGAGUGGAAAUUCCUGGUGUAGGCGGUCGGAAUGGCGCAGAGUAUCAGGAGGAACACCAAUAGCGAAGGCAGCUCGCUGGGACGGUAUUGACGCGUAAGGCGCGAAAGCGUGGGGAGCAAACAGG
Molecule: ribosomal RNA, 262 nt
Filed under: uncultured bacterium
Lineage: Bacteria
Description: partial 16S ribosomal RNA
Rfam family: Bacterial small subunit ribosomal RNA
Source: RNAcentral